CCAGUCACCGAUGAGACCCACCGCCCACGGCUGCCACCUCAACUGUUUCUCGCCCUAUUUCCACCUGGCUAACAAGUGAACCAGUUACCUAUUAAUUCACUCCUAUCUCUUUUCAUCCGUACCAAAUCCUUUCUCCAAUUCCUACCAAAAAUUCCCUUUCCCAAAUGGCUCGUCUUCUCUCUAAUAAUUCCCAAAUCCAAACCCUAACCCGAACUUUAACCCGACCCAAAUUCGCCCCACCUCUUGUCCUCACUCUCCGUCACCGUUCAAACUCCAACCGAUCCGGCGACGGCGAUGGUUCCGGCGAAGGAGAACCACCUCACCCUCAGUUAAUCGAGAUCGAUCUCGAUUCCUCCUCUAUCGGAUCGGAAGGCGGAAUAAGGAAGUUAGAAGAGGUGAUCCAUUCGGUUAUCGUGAGACGUUCCGCACCUGAUUGGCUCCCUUUUUUGCCUGGAUACUCUUACUGGGUCCCACCUCUUCCUAAUCAACCGUUUGUGAAAGUAGGAGGAGGUAUACAUGGUCAUAGAGGAGGAGGAGGAGGUGAUUUUGAUCCUCAUAGGAUUGUUGAGGUUGUCGGGAAGCUUGCUUCUGUGAGGAGUCAUUUUGGUUCGUCUUCGUUGUUGUUGUCGGAGGAUGAAACGGCGUGCGUGUCAAGAGUUCGUGGUUGGCCCUCUUCUUCCUUUUUCACUGGAGGAAGUGCACCCACAUUCCCAGUCCCAGUGCAGGUGGUCGAAGUGGAGGUAAAGCUUGAGGACAACGCAGAUUAUGACUCUAAAUCAGAGGACGAAGGCUAAAUGACCUGUCAUCCAUAGAGUGAGCUGUCAUACCAGAACUAGGUCAGGCAUUUCUUGGUCGUCCUAGUCUUCUGGAUGAGGGGGUGAAAUGGAUAAUGGAAAUCUAUCAAAAGAGUUUUGGGGUUGGGAAACUUGAACUGGCUUAGUAACCUUGUAAAUUCUUUGAAAACCUGGAAAACAUAAGAAGCUGCUUACCUAAGAAAUGGCAUGCAAAAGUUACACGUACCAGAGUUUGGGGUCGAAGCUCUUCCAUCCGCCCUCUUGUUCGAUGUAGUGACUCAAUGCUCAGCCUACCUAUAAAAAUCUUGUAUUUAUGGUGUUUGAACUGUAUGAUCUGGAAAAAUAAUCAGCCAGUUAAGUUUAAUGCUCUUUGCUUUUGGUCUAUUGUGUGUUGCCAUGACUUUUAA
RNA transcript from Nicotiana attenuata, 1201 nucleotides. RefSeq lists it as uncharacterized. The transcript has 4 exons. The record is from RefSeq and is a predicted model, not a curated record. NCBI's taxonomy places the organism in Eukaryota, Viridiplantae, Streptophyta, Magnoliopsida, Solanales, Solanaceae.